Molecule: long non-coding RNA, 1295 nt
Organism: Chelonia mydas (Green sea turtle)
Lineage: Eukaryota; Metazoa; Chordata; Testudines; Cheloniidae
Exons: 3
Source: RefSeq, a predicted model, not a curated record
AUCAGAGCACAGCAGGCUCAGAAAAAAGAAGCUGCAGGGACUGAGCAGAUCAGUUUCUGGCUGGGACCAGAAGUGUGAGGAAGUCCUGGAAGGCUGUGAAACUCUCCAGGUGAAGAGGAAGGGGCUACAUGGGAACCAGUCCAGGGAAUAGCAGCAGCACCUAUUAAAGGAAGCAGCACCUGGCUGCUAUUUGUAGGGUGCAUGGGUUGGAACCCAGAGUAGUGGAUGGGCCCGGGUUCCCUCCAUCGGCCAUUAGCAAAGUGGCCAAAGUCCUGAGAAGGGAACAAGUUUCAUUUAGAAGCCUAAGCACAAGGCUGGAAUGUAAAGGGCUCAAGGAUGGGGCUGAAGACCUUGUUGAACUUCCAUCCAACACAAUAAAGGGCAGGUGGGCCAACAGCAUCUCCAAGUCCUUCUCCACUGUGAAUGGGACAGAUCUGAAGCAGAGGGGAAAGACAGUGGAAAGUGGAAUAUAGAUAGGGACCAAACAUCUCAAAGAACCUCCAAUUACAGGUAAAAGGUCAAGGCUCAUUUAACAUUGAUGGACUGGAGUCUAUGUUCUUCUGCAGACACAUGCUGUUUUGGAAAGAAAAUAGCUGGAAACAAGCAGCAGAGCCAGUACCAUGCAACCAGCCAGCUCUCCCCACACCACCAGGAAGUGCUCCAUGAACCACCAGUAAUUCAAGAACCACAGUUUGGGAACUUCUGCUUUAGAACUUUUACAGAGCUUGCUGAAAAGGAGGCAUCAACAUGGCUAACAAAGUUUGACAGCACUGGCUGGAAAGCACAUUCCUUUAUUAGCCUCUGCCAGUGGCAUUCCAACUGGAACUUCAAGCUGCCCUUGCCUGUUCAAAAACCAGAGCAGGGGGACAGGCAGGGGUAACACUGCCUGGCCUAUCUUAAGAUGAAUCAACCUCAGAUGCAGAUGUCAAAAUUGGCACAGAGAGAAGUAAUUUUUUUAUUUUUUGCACCAGUCUGGCUCAAUCUAGCCCUGUAUAUUUUUAAUAUUUAAUAAACAUUCAAAGAUAAAACCCCUACAGGUUUGAGAAAUGUAUACUGAUUACCCACAACAUUCAACAAACAAAAAAUAAGGGAAAAGAAUAUCAGAUUUGGACAUCUGGUUAAAGAGAGGGACUUGGCCCACAACAUUUCUUCAGAAAAUGUGUUUGUUGACAGUUCUGCUGGAGAGUUAGUGAUUAGAUGGGGGGAAAAAAUUGAUUGUUUAGCUUGUUUAUAAUGGGUUCUAUUAGAGUUUUGUUAUGAAUGGGUUAUUAUCCUUCAUAGGUUUCAGAGUAACA